AUACGGAGGGUGCAAGCGUUAAUCGGAAUCACUGGACGUAAAGCGCACGUAGGCUGUUUGGUAAGUCAGGGGUGAAAUCCCGCAGCUCAACUGCGGAAUUGCCCUUGAUACUGCUGGACUUGAGUUCGGGAGAGGGUGGCGGAAUUCCAGGUGUAGGAGUGAAAUCCUUAGAUAUCUGGAGGAACAUCAGUGGCGAAGGCGGCCACCUGGACCGAUACUGACGCUGAGGUGCGAAAGCGUGGGGAGC
Molecule: ribosomal RNA, 247 nt
Filed under: uncultured bacterium
Lineage: Bacteria
Description: partial 16S ribosomal RNA
Rfam family: Bacterial small subunit ribosomal RNA
Source: RNAcentral